This 1304-nucleotide long non-coding RNA is filed under the name Capsicum annuum. Its description in RNAcentral is "long non-coding RNA (CANN_LNC012091)". The record is from RNAcentral. Lineage: Eukaryota; Viridiplantae; Streptophyta; Magnoliopsida; Solanales; Solanaceae.
UUAUUGUUGCUCGAUGACUCCCUUCUAUUUAUGUAUUGCCUUCUCUUUACAAAAUUUGCUUUUUCUCCCUUUCACGUCUCAAAAUAUGAGCCUCUAACACGUAGUCUAAAACAAUUAUUUAGAACCUGAAUGUACUUAUUGAAAAUCAAUGAUCUUUCAUCUAAGAAUUUCAAUUUGCACCCAUGCGAAUGUCAUUUUCACUACAAAUUGCAGCUACAACUGUAACAAUUAUGCUUUAUUGAUGCCCCAUAUACAACACAUAAACACACAAGAGACACUAGUCCUUUUCUUCUUCAUCAAGUUGAAAAUCACAGAUAAGAGGCUCUUCUUAUAUAUAACUACAACAACUACUACAUAAACUUUUAUUGACUUUGGAAUUUGAUGAUUUUGUUCUAAUUGUAACCUUUCUUGCACUUGAGGGACAUUUUCAAAAUCAAUCUGUUGCCAAUCAUGGGUUGUCUGUUAGUUGACAAUUCAAUGAAUCUAUAAUUUGGUGGGGCAACAGACAAACAGAAGCUCAAAGCCAACUGUAAUUGACAGAACAAAUUUAUUAAAUUGAUGCAAUCUCUAUAUAGUCUCUUUUAAGUCAUUUAUCUUUCCUGAACGAGUCAAAAUAUAUCGUGGGUGUUUGGAUUGGCUUAUUUUUAGAUGCUUUUAAGUAUUUUUUCAAUUUUAAUAGUGUUUGACAAAGUUAAAAAGUGCUUUUAAGCACUUAUUUUUAAGUCAAAAUAAGUGCUUAUAAGCCAAAAGUAGGGUAACACCAACUUAUGGCUUUUGGCUUAUAAGCUACUAAUUAAAAGUCAAUCCAAACAGGCCCGAUCAUCAAGGAUUAUAGUGGGCAAAUAAGAUUUACGCGUAAAGUCAUGAUUUGAUGUUUAUGAAUUCGGAGUUCUAGCCCUUUUAAAUUAUGGGGUUCUAAAUUAGUGAUUGUUACAUAUUAAACAAGUUUUUAAAGACAAAUACAAUGUUUGGACCAAGAUUACUGGAUUCAGCAAACCCGUACUUCGAUCUUUGCUCCUUGGCCUGAUAGGAUCCCUCCACAUUUAAUAGGAUCUCUAAUUCGAAUAUUGAGUAAGUAAACCUUAUACGUUGCGAAUCUAAGACCUUAAUAUGAAUAUCGAGUAGCAGGUAAAACAACAAAAAAGGAGUCUAAAAUAAGGGCAUCUUUUGUAGUUGUGGUUGUUAUUAAGGUCGUUGGUUCUAUGCAUUCUCCCUUUAUCCUUCUACUCAUUGUCUGCGCAAUAAUAAUAUGAUUAUAUUAAUGUGGGAACUAACCAAUCAUUAGGACUUAGGAGAUUGUAAGG